CCUACGGGAGGCAGCAGUGAGGAAUAUUGGUCAAUGGGAGGAAUCCUGAACCAGCCAUGCCGCGUGCAGGACGACGGCUCUACGAGUUGUAAACUGCUUUUGUACCAGGGUAAAAUGCUCUACGAGUAUUGAUUUGAAAGUACGGUACGAAUAAGGAUCGGCUAACUCCGUGCCAGCAGCCGCGGUAAUACGGAGGAUCCAAGCGUUAUCCGGAUUCAUUGGGUUUAAAGGGUGCGUAGGUGGUUUUAUAAGUUAGCGGUGAAAUACCGAUGCUUAACAUCGGAGCUGCCGCUGAUACUGUUGGACUAGAGAUCGGAUGCGGUAGGCGGAAUGUGUAGUGUAGCGGUGAAAUGCAUAGAGAUUACACAGAACACCGAUUGCGAAGGCAGCUUGCUAGGCCGGAUCUGACGCUGAUGCACGAAAGCGUGGGGAGCGAACAGGAUUAGAUACCCGAGUAGUC
RNAcentral lists this ribosomal RNA (460 nucleotides) under uncultured bacterium. RNAcentral describes it as "partial 16S ribosomal RNA". It matches the Rfam family "Bacterial small subunit ribosomal RNA", at positions 338 to 795 of the family's 1533-position model. The record is from RNAcentral.